RNAcentral lists this ribosomal RNA (406 nucleotides) under uncultured bacterium. Its description in RNAcentral is "bacterial LSU rRNA". It matches the Rfam family "Bacterial large subunit ribosomal RNA", at positions 927 to 1340 of the family's 2925-position model. The record is from RNAcentral.
CUUCACCGCCUACCAACCCUUAACAAACUACUGAAUGCCAACACAUAGUACCAGCAGUGAGCCCCGGGUGCGAAGGUCACGGGGCGAGAGGGGAACAACCCCAGACCAACAGUUAAGGUCCCUAAAUCAUGGUUAAGUUGCAUGAACGAGGUGGGAAUGCACAGACAGCUAGGAUGUUUGCUUGGAAGCAGCAAUUCAUUUAAAGAGUGCGUAACAGCUCACUAGUCGAGCGUUCCUGCGCGGAAAAUAAUCGGGCAUCAAACCAUGUACCGAAACUUUGGAUUCGAAAGAGUGGUAGGGGAGCAUUCUGUAGCGUUGAAGCCGCGUCGUGAGGCGUGGUGGAGUAAACAGAAAAGCAAAUGUAGGCAUAAGUAACGAUAAAUGGCGUGGAAAACGUCAUCGCCGC